RNAcentral lists this ribosomal RNA (276 nucleotides) under Blastocystis sp. HLCS-2014a. RNAcentral describes it as "partial 18S ribosomal RNA". It matches the Rfam family "Eukaryotic small subunit ribosomal RNA", at positions 1415 to 1696 of the family's 1831-position model. Lineage: Eukaryota; Bigyra; Opalinata; Blastocystidae. The record is from RNAcentral.
AGGGACACUAUACAUAAAGUGUAGGGAAGCUGGAGGCAAUAACAGGUCUGUGAUGCCCUUAGAUGUCCUGGGCUGCACGCGCGCGACACUGAUUCAUUCAACAAGUGGCUGAAUCGAUAGAUUUGGCAAAUCUUUUGAAAAUGAAUCGUGAUGGGGAUUGAUGUCUGUAAUAAACGUCAUGAACGAGGAAUUCCUAGUAAAUGCAAGUCAUCAACUUGCGUUGAUUACGUCCCUGCCCUUUGUACACACCGCCCGUCGCACCUACCGAUUGAAUGG